UAGAGAAUCUUGUGCAAUAAACGAAAGUAUGACACAGAGAGGACACAUUUAAUUAAGCCCGUCAAAUUAAGUGCCAGCCGACGCGGUUAAACUUAAGGGCUGGUCUUUAUAAGUAAAAAGGCGUAAAGGAUGUGUAGGCCAAGAAACAAUUAAAGUAGGUAAAUGGAAUUUUUCUGGAGCGGUAGAAUGCGAGGAUAGAAAAUAGAACCCCUAAGGUAAAAACUAUUUACCACAAGGUAGGCUGAAACAUGAAAGUGUGGGGAGCAAACAGGAUUAGAGACCCUGGUAGUCCACACUGUAAACUUUGAAGAUGAUGCUUAGCAGACCCGAAAGGUAAAAUCUUCCGCCUGAGUAGUACGAUCGCAAGAUUAAAAUUCAAAAACUUUGGCUGUUCACUAUUUCGAUUAGAGGAGCGUGUAGUUUAAUUCGAUGGUCCGCGUGUUACCUUACCCCAACUUGAAUCUGUGACCGGUAUUGCAUGGCCGUCGUAAGUUCGUGUAUUAAGCUAAAAGGGACCCAACCCGGGCAUUUGCCCGGAGGAAGUCAGGUCUUAUGAUCCGAAUGUUGGGGGAUUUUAUGCGCUACAUUUUCUUAUAUAAUGGGAAACCUGAAAGGUGAGCCUCUAAAGUAAGAGUUCGGAAGGUCGCUGUAAGACGACUGGAAGUUGGAUUUAAUAGUAAUCGGAAAGUAGGGCGUUCCGGUGAAUUGGUACAAGUGUUAGCACAAAUUGCCCGUCACCUUUACCUAGAAUGGUUAUUCGGACGUCUUCGGUGAUUACGAAUGCCUACGAGGUAAAGCAAGUCGUACAAGAG
This 812-nucleotide ribosomal RNA is filed under the name Stichodactyla gigantea. RNAcentral's name for it is "partial 12S small subunit ribosomal RNA". It matches the Rfam family "Bacterial small subunit ribosomal RNA", at positions 355 to 1497 of the family's 1533-position model. The record is from RNAcentral. Lineage: Eukaryota; Metazoa; Cnidaria; Anthozoa; Actiniaria; Stichodactylidae.